GGGUUUUGGUCUCGCCAUGAGGCCAAGAGGUGAUUGCGUUGGUCGGGCCGCCAACG
RNAcentral lists this non-coding RNA (56 nucleotides) under Orrella dioscoreae. Its description in RNAcentral is "nhaA-I RNA". It matches the Rfam family "nhaA-I RNA". From Rfam's summary of the family: Acidobacteria, Alphaproteobacteria, Betaproteobacteria and Gammaproteobacteria, Verrucomicrobia, cand. division NC10. Downstream gene Lineage: Bacteria; Pseudomonadati; Pseudomonadota; Betaproteobacteria; Burkholderiales; Alcaligenaceae. The record is from Rfam by way of RNAcentral. RNAcentral also lists the same sequence under 1 other name.